Long non-coding RNA from Mytilus californianus (California mussel), 1196 nucleotides. RefSeq lists it as uncharacterized. NCBI's taxonomy places the organism in Eukaryota, Metazoa, Mollusca, Bivalvia, Mytilida, Mytilidae. The transcript has 2 exons. The record is from RefSeq and is a predicted model, not a curated record.
UAUUGCGUUCGUAUAUUGGUAUGACGUUGGCCUCGUCGUCGUCGUCCGAAGACACAUUGGUUUUCGCACUCUAACUUUAGUUAAAGUGAAUGGAUCUCUAUGAAAUUUUACCAUAAGGUUCAAUACCAGAAAAGGAAGGUGGGGAUUGAUUUUUGGGGGUUAUGGUACCAACAGUUAAGGAAUUAGGGGCCAAAAAUUAGCAUUUUUGUAACUUCCAGAUAUAACUUGUGUGUAAGUGUAUGGAUCUCUCUGACAUUGUACCACAAGGUGCCAUAUCACAAAGGGAAUGCUGGGAUUGAUUAUGGGGGUAAUUGCUUCCAAAUUUUAAGGAAUUAGGGGCCAAAAAGAGGCAAAAAACAAGCAUUUUUCUAGUUUCAUGACAAUAACUUGUGUGUAAGUCUAUGGAUCUCUCUGACAUUGUACCACAAGGUUCCAUAUCACAAAGGGAAUGCUGGGAUUGAUUUUGGGGGUAAUUGCCUCCAAAUUUUAGGAAUUAGGGGCCAAAAAGGGGCAAAAAACAAGCAUUUUUCUAGUUUCAUGACAAUAACUUGUGUGUAAGUGUAUGGAUCUUUAUGAAAUUGUACUACAAGGUUCCAUAUUACAAAGGGAAAGCUGGAAUUGAGUUUGGGGGUAAUUGCCCAAAACGUUUAGGAAUAAGGGGCCAAAAAUAAGCAUUUUUCUAGUUUCCAGACAAUAACUUGUGUUCAAGUGUAUGGAUCUCUCUGAAAUUGUACUGCAAGGUACCAUACCACAAAGGGAAGGCUGGGAUUGAGUUUGGGGGUAAUUGCCUCAAAAUUUUAGGAAUUAGUUGCCAAAAAGGGGGCAAAAAACAAGCAUUUUCUAGUUUCAGGACAAUAACUUGUGUGUAAGUGUAUGGAUCUUUAUGAAAUUGUACUACAAGGUUCCAUAUCACAAGGGAAAGCUGGGUUUGAGUUUGGGGGUAAUUGCCCUAAAUGUUUAGGAAUUUGGGGCCAAAAAGGGGCCAAAAAAACAAGCAUUUUUCUAGUUUCCAGACAAUAACUUGUGUUCAAGUGUAUGGAUCUCUCUGAAAUUGUACUGCAAGGUACCAUACCACAAAGGGAAGGCUGGGAUUGAGUUUGGGGGUGAUGAAUCAUAAGGGGGUUCAAAAAAAUGGGGGGGGGGGAUAUUUUUUUCCUUUUUUUUCUUUAAAAUUUUCCAUUUUAAAUUGGUUAUUU